This 65-nucleotide transfer RNA is filed under the name Leptoglossus membranaceus. RNAcentral's name for it is "tRNA-Cys". It matches the Rfam family "tRNA". From Rfam's summary of the family: Transfer RNA (tRNA) molecules are approximately 80 nucleotides in length. Lineage: Eukaryota; Metazoa; Arthropoda; Insecta; Hemiptera; Coreidae. The record is from RNAcentral.
GGCUUUAUAGUCUAAUUAUAAUGACAUUAGGUUGCAAAUCUAAAGGUGUAUUUAUGCUAAAGCUU